GGUAUUUUGACCGUGCAAAGGUAGCAUAAUCAUUAGUUUUUUAAUUGAAAGCUGGUAUGAAAGGUUGGAUGAGAAAUAAGCUGUCUCUAUUUAAUUUUAUUAGAAUUUUAUUUUUAAGUUAAAAAGCUUAAAUUUUAAUAGAAGACGAGAAGACCCUAUAGAGUUUUAUUUAUUUAUUUAAUAAAAUUAAUAGUAUUAAUUAUUUUUAUUAAAGAAAUAAAUUUGGUUGGGGUGACUGAAAAAUUUAAUAAACUUUUUUUGUAAGUGUACAUUUAUAUAUGAUUAAUUGAUCCUUAGUUUAAGAUUAAAAGAUAAAAUUACCUUAGGGAUAACAGCGUAAUUUUUUUUGAGAGUUCUAAUCGAAAGAAAAGAUUGCGACCUCGAUGUUGGAUUAAAAUAAAAUUUUGGUGUAGAAGCUAAAG
This 422-nucleotide ribosomal RNA is filed under the name Laparocerus auctus. RNAcentral's name for it is "partial 16S ribosomal RNA". The record is from RNAcentral. Lineage: Eukaryota; Metazoa; Arthropoda; Insecta; Coleoptera; Curculionidae.